This 353-nucleotide ribosomal RNA is filed under the name uncultured Pseudomonas sp. Its description in RNAcentral is "bacterial SSU rRNA". It matches the Rfam family "Bacterial small subunit ribosomal RNA", at positions 1029 to 1382 of the family's 1533-position model. The record is from RNAcentral. Lineage: Bacteria; Pseudomonadati; Pseudomonadota; Gammaproteobacteria; Pseudomonadales; Pseudomonadaceae.
CUGACACAGGUGCUGCAUGGCUGUCGUCAGCUCGUGUCGUGAGGAUGUUGGGUUAAGUCCGUAACGAGCGCAACCCUUGUCCUUAGUUACCAGCACGUUAUGGUGGGCACUCUAAGGAGACUGCCGGUGACAACCGGAGGAAGGUGGGGAUGACGUCAAGUCAUCAUGGCCCUUACGGCCUGGGCUACACACGUGCUACAAUGGUCGGUACAAAGGGUUGCCAAGCCGCGAGGUGGAGCUAAUCCCAUAAAACCGAUCGUAGUCCGGAUCGCAGUCUGCAACUCGACUGCGUGAAGUCGGAAUCGCUAGUAAUCGUGAAUCAGAAUGUCACGGUGAAUACGUUCCCGGGCCUU